Molecule: ribosomal RNA, 210 nt
Filed under: uncultured bacterium
Lineage: Bacteria
Description: partial 16S ribosomal RNA
Rfam family: Bacterial small subunit ribosomal RNA
Source: RNAcentral
CGGACUGUAGGCUGCAACUCGCCUACACGAAGCUGGAAUCGCUAGUAAUCGCGGAUCAGCACGCCGCGGUGAAUACGUUCCCGGGCCUUGUACACACCGCCCGUCACACCAUGAGAGUCUGUAACACCCAAAGCCGGUGGGAUAACCUUUAUAGGAGUCAGCCGUCUAAGGUAGGACAGAUGAUUAGGGGUGAAGUCGUAACAAGGUAGC